Molecule: long non-coding RNA, 214 nt
Organism: Cygnus olor (mute swan)
Lineage: Eukaryota; Metazoa; Chordata; Aves; Anseriformes; Anatidae
Exons: 3
Source: RefSeq, a predicted model, not a curated record
GAUUAUCAUGGCUCAGGCUUUCUUUGUACUGAUUUGUCCAUUCAUGUGCAAGAGAGAGAGGGGAAAAAGAGGUGCAUACUUCAUUUGGAUCAGAAUAUGAGCAUUUAGGAGGACUCACCUUGGUUUAUCACCCUAUGCUAAGCAUGGCAUGAAGAAGACAGAAAAGACCAAACAGGCAUUGAACCACUACUUAAAGUUACCUGAGAAAAAGCUA